UACGUAUGGAGCAAGCGAUAUCCGGAUUUACUGGGUGUAAAGGGAGCGCAGACGGCAAGGCAAGUCUGAUGUGAAAGUCCGAGGCUCAACCUCGGGACUGCAUUGGAAACUGUCUGGCUAGAGUGCAGGAGAGGUAAGUGGAAUUCCUAGUGUAGCGGUGAAAUGCAUAGAUAUCACGCAGAACUCCGAUUGCGAAGGCAGCAUACCGGCGCCCGACUGACGCUGAGGCACGAAAGCGUGGGGAUCGAACAGG
RNAcentral lists this ribosomal RNA (253 nucleotides) under uncultured Eubacteriales bacterium. RNAcentral describes it as "uncultured Clostridiales bacterium partial 16S ribosomal RNA". It matches the Rfam family "Bacterial small subunit ribosomal RNA", at positions 524 to 776 of the family's 1533-position model. Lineage: Bacteria; Bacillati; Bacillota; Clostridia; Eubacteriales. The record is from RNAcentral.